AGUUUAUUUCUUGAGCCUCCCUUACAGAACAAACACUCCAAAUAUCAAGGCUUUGAGAGAGUCUUAGGCCUCUCUGUGGUAGGAGGAGUCCCAGUCCUCUGCUGGUGGGAACCUCCUAGGAAAGGUUUACAAUGGGACCCACACAUCAUUCCCUUGUCAACAGCAGCUAGACAACUUCCCUGGAGACUCAGGAGAGAGCUGGGUCAACACUACCAAUGGAGUACCGAGUACUGUGCUUUCUCUGAGCUAGUGUUAUGGACAGCCUCAGGGAAGCCACUGGGGACAUUGCUAAAAUUAUUUCCAAAUGGAGAGACAAGGGAGAAGAACUCACCAUCACAAAAGACAGCAACCUGGUAUCUUUGUGUGGAAUGAAGAUGUCUCUGGAAGAUUCUAUCUUAAAAGGACUCCAUUCUGUUUUCUGAUUCUAAUGCUAAAGAUCUCAGAAACCAACAAAGAAUCGCAAUAAGAACUCAGCUCUAAAAGAAAAUACACAUUUGUUGAAUUUCCAGGCAAUGUGUCUUUCUUUCAGGAGUGUCACACUGCUGUCUUGCUUUCUCUUAUAAAGUGGCUCCAUUAAUCUUCCACAUGGGUGACUACUUUUUGAUGGAGACUCACUGAGGAUUGUCAAGGGAUAAGAGACAGAAAAGACAGAUAAUGUAAUUCCAUAUUCAAGGGUCACCUUUCUUGGUUCAUAUUUUUUCUUUUGAGUUGGCAAAUUUUCAUAAAUCACCUGAAAAC
This 738-nucleotide long non-coding RNA is filed under the name Equus caballus (horse). RNAcentral's name for it is "lncRNA (ENSECAG00000054703.1)". The record is from RNAcentral. Lineage: Eukaryota; Metazoa; Chordata; Mammalia; Perissodactyla; Equidae.